RNAcentral lists this ribosomal RNA (253 nucleotides) under uncultured bacterium. RNAcentral describes it as "partial 16S ribosomal RNA". It matches the Rfam family "Bacterial small subunit ribosomal RNA", at positions 524 to 776 of the family's 1533-position model. The record is from RNAcentral.
UACGUAGGGUGCGAGCGUUAAUCGGAAUUACUGGGCGUAAAGCGUGCGCAGGCGGCUUUGCAAGACAGAUGUGAAAUCCCCGGGCUCAACCUGGGAAUUGCGCUUGUGACUGCAAAGCUGGAGUGCGGCAGAGGGGGAUGGAAUUCCGCGUGUAGCAGUGAAAUGCGUAGAUAUUCGGAGGAACACCAGUGGCGAAGGCAAUCCCCUGGGCCUGUACUGACGCUCAUGCACGAAAGCGUGGGGAGCAAACAGG